AUGAUAGCGCGUGCUUUUCUUGUUAAGAGUCGCGAAGGGGAGCUCAAAUACAAAUUAUACUUUGAUAAACAUCACCCUAAGACUAUUACUUUGCCUGCCCCUUCUUUGUUUAACUUAUCUGCAGGUCCUCACAUUGUUCUGUGGUCGGCUGUUCAAGCCUAUCGGAAUCCUGCACCAGCCCCAGAACCGGAGCCACAAGAUGAGCCUCCACGUCUAUCUGUUUAUUCUUGGGAUCCAGAGGAAGUUGCCAGCCAGUGGCAGCCGGAGCCUUCUUCAUCACAGUAUGACCCCAGCUUCACCUACGGAUAUCCGCCAGGCUAUCCCUGGCAAUAG
RNAcentral lists this ribosomal RNA (333 nucleotides) under Triticum aestivum (bread wheat). RNAcentral describes it as "partial small subunit ribosomal RNA". The record is from RNAcentral. Lineage: Eukaryota; Viridiplantae; Streptophyta; Magnoliopsida; Poales; Poaceae.